UGAUAUAUUUUGUUCAAUAGAUGUGAAGCACAUCUUGCGCACCAGCCCCUAAACCUACUCUAUUUUUGUUGGCUGCUGCAUAAUAUGGGCGUUCUUGUUACAGUCGUGUCAACACUGUAGGAAAUAUUAACCAAGGAAGGAAAGGAGCGAAAAGAAGAUGAAGUUCAGGCCAUUGAGAACAGAAAUUUUCAGAAGAGGAGCUCAAAGGAAAGAGAUUAUUAGAUUUCUUGAUAUUGCAUUAGCAACAUCUAACAAAUGACCGAUUCGCUGGCAAUGUUGGAGCACUGUAGAUUGAAUGGUCAUGUAGCUUUCUUCUAAUUGUUAGCUAUGUUCCAUUUGUUUUGGGCCUUUGGCGGUGUCCUCAUGUGAGGAUGUGUUAGGGAAUGCUUAUUUGUAUGGUUGUAGUUUAGAUAUCUGCCAUUGCCUUAUUUCCAUUUUCUUUAAUAGAACUUUCAUCGUUUAUAACAAAAAAAUAAUAAUAAUAAUAAUAAAUGGUAAUUAUUCUUUCAAAAAAUAUUUUUCUUCAUUAUUUUCUAUGAGGCAUGAUAGCAACACAUUAUCUAUGGUUCGUAAUUCAUAAAUGAAAAAAAAAAAACAUGGAGGAAUAUGCAGAAUACAAAGAAACAAAGUUUAAUCGAUACCUUAUAUUUAAUUGAGAUUAAUAAAGUUAAAACAAAGCAUAAACAACAUAAAAACAAUUAUUUUGGGGAAACAAACAUUACGUUUGAUAGACCAUAAUACAAUAAAA
Long non-coding RNA from Hevea brasiliensis (rubber tree), 748 nucleotides. RefSeq lists it as uncharacterized. Lineage: Eukaryota; Viridiplantae; Streptophyta; Magnoliopsida; Malpighiales; Euphorbiaceae. The transcript has 2 exons. The record is from RefSeq and is a predicted model, not a curated record.